RNAcentral lists this ribosomal RNA (235 nucleotides) under uncultured bacterium. RNAcentral's name for it is "partial 16S ribosomal RNA". It matches the Rfam family "Bacterial small subunit ribosomal RNA", at positions 118 to 347 of the family's 1533-position model. The record is from RNAcentral.
UGAGCAAUCUGCCCUUCUCAUCGGAAUAAGCGUUGGAAACGACGUCUAAUGCCGAAUACGACCUCCUUUCGCAUGAUCGGAGGUGGAAAGCUCCGGCGGAGAAGGAUGAGCUCGCGGCCUAUCAGCUAGUUGGUGUGGGUCAUGGCCCACAAGGCGACGACGGGUAGCCGGCCUGGAGGGGGUGACCGGCCACACGUGGGACUGAGACACGGCCCAGACCUCCGUACGGGAGCAG